GAAGAGAAUGUUGCAUGCACAGCCUAAGGUUUCAUUCCCAUGCGAUUGUUCUACAUGACUGAAUGGUUCUACUGACUUUUUUUUAAUGUUAAAGUGCAGGAGUAAUUUUUUUUAACCAGCAAAAAGGCUAAGUGAUUUGAUCAGGGCCACAGAUCAGCAUGAUAGAGACAGGACUAUUAUAAUGUUCUAGUAAGCCAGUCAGAUUGAAAGCUUAAACUCUGGAAACAGGAGUCACCUUUUAUCAUGUGUUUGAACUAUGCUCAGCAUAACAGAACUCAAUCCUUUCUGAGGUUUCUGAGUACUGGUUUAAUACAGAUAGUAAAUGUCAAGUAGACCGAUGUGCAUGGGGCUUUACAUAGCCUUUUUACUCUUGGGAUCAUAAAAACUUAAAACCUUCAACAGAAUAAGGAAGGUAAAGUGUGCAAGCCAGAACAAGAAGUUACUCAACAACAUGACAGAAGUUUGUGGCUGAGCCUGGCCACUUUGCAAUUGAACUUAGCUUCUGCUACAUCUUUGGGAGACCCUACCUGGUACAAGUUCCAUCACUUCCCUGGAAUUUGCUGUGCACUUUGCUGUUAACUCAGGUGAUUGCCACCAGUGGCUAAUGUGACUGAUUCAGAAUCACACAACAGUGCCUCAGGCCAGUCCCACUCCUCCUCUGCACUACUGCAUAUUGAUGCUGGCUUUGCACUGCCUGGUCAUGCAUGACCAAUGGCUUUGUGAGGGAGCAUCUCAAGGAUCUGAUGCCAUUUUCAAAGACUGUUUAUAUCUGCAGCAUCUCUGAUUUCUGUUUUGAAAGAUUCUGACUUCAUCCCAGUACAGAAGAAAGUGGGGAAAAGUAUGUAACCUUGACAAAUUUGGAUAAAUAUUUUCCUAAUCAUAUUCACUCUGAAGCUUCUUGUGCAAUUAAAUUCUAGUCUGACUUCCUUCAAAGUUGGCACUUGCUCACUGACAGCAACCAGUGAAGACCACUAUAUUGCAAAGCUGUACCAAGCAGCAGUCCUACAUCCAUAAAUGAUAUAUGAAAUGCUACUAGCUUGACAAUAAAGAAGUAUGGCUGUACUCAGUUCAUCUCUGUUACAGGAUAUCUCACUGCUCAGAAAGGUGAAAAGUUAUGUAUGUAUAAAAUGUACACAAAUAGAACUAAAACCAAGAUUAUCAUUUAUUUCAGCUGAAAAGAUCCAAGCCUGGAACACUGCUUUUUUCCCCAAAAACCUUGAGUUCACAGCUCUCACACUGAAACCUCUGUACCAUGAGCUCCAGUUCUGCUCUGCAGAAGGGGUUUGUUUCAUCCAUCCAUCUGCAAAUAAACUGAGAUGUGAUAGGCAGUGCAUCAACAGAGAGACCUGUGGCAGGGGAACAUGGAAAGAAAAGGACACAAAGGAGCUAACAAUUGUCAGGAAGUGGCGCAAGAAUGAGAAACCUGUCUGACAUGCCUCCGCUCCAAGUAGUUCAGCACUCCUCUUCCCUGCCUUUUUACACUCCCAGGCCAUCUUGAGUUCAAGAGCAGAGGUGCCAUGUGCUUGUAGCUCCCACUAAAACUUCAGCUUAACUAACAGCUCCCAAAAGCACAUUGAGGAGCAACCGGAGAUGAAGACAGGAAAAAAUAAGAAAACCUUUCUUGAAAGCCACAGCCUGAAAGUACUUUUUAACACUGUUUCACUCGUAGUCCGGGGGACACCAUCUCACACAGAAAAACAAAAAUACAUGGAAAGAUGCAUGGUUUGAAUCAAAAGUAUCCUUUGUUGUCUGAUGCCUAUUUGCUAUCUUUUUCACAUAAGAUGGAAAACAGUAGGACUAUAUUUUUGACAGCUUUCUGGUUCAAAUAAUAAAAAUAAAAAAAUAAUAAAAAU
This 1853-nucleotide long non-coding RNA is filed under the name Gallus gallus (chicken). RNAcentral describes it as "lncRNA (ENSGALG00010006839.1)". The record is from RNAcentral. Lineage: Eukaryota; Metazoa; Chordata; Aves; Galliformes; Phasianidae.